CGGACAGUGUCUGGUGGGUAGUUUGACUGGGGCGGUCUCCUCCUAAAGAGUAACGGAGGAGCACGAAGGUUGGCUAAUCCUGGUCGGACAUCAGGAGGUUAGUGCAAUGGCAUAAGCCAGCUUGACUGCGAGCGUGACGGCGCGAGCAGGUGCGAAAGCAGGUCAUAGUGAUCCGGUGGUUCUGAAUGGAAGGGCCAUCGCUCAACGGAUAAAAGGUACUCCGGGGAUAACAGGCUGAUACCGCCCAAGAGUUCAUAUCGACGGCGGUGUUUGGCACCUCGAUGUCGGCUCAUCACAUCCUGGGGCUGAAGUAGGUCCCAAGGGUAUGGCUGUUCGCCAUUUAAAGUGGUACGCGAGCUGGGUUUAGAACGUCGUGAGACAGUUCGGUCCCUAUCUGCCGUGGGCGCUGGAGAACUGAGGGGGGCUGCUCCUAGUACGAGAGGACCGGAGUGGACGCAUCACUGGUGUUCGGGUUGUCAUGCCAAUGGCACUGCCCGGUAGCUAAAUGCGGAAGAGAUAAGUGCUGAAAGCAUCUAAGCACGAAACUUGCCCCGAGAUGAGUUCUCCCUGACUCCUUGAGAGUCCUGAAGGAACGUUGAAGACGACGACGUUGAUAGGCCGGGUGUGUAAGC
RNAcentral lists this ribosomal RNA (632 nucleotides) under Escherichia coli. RNAcentral describes it as "partial 23S ribosomal RNA". It matches the Rfam family "Bacterial large subunit ribosomal RNA", at positions 2248 to 2874 of the family's 2925-position model. The record is from RNAcentral. Lineage: Bacteria; Pseudomonadati; Pseudomonadota; Gammaproteobacteria; Enterobacterales; Enterobacteriaceae.